Molecule: ribosomal RNA, 433 nt
Filed under: uncultured marine bacterium
Lineage: Bacteria
Description: bacterial SSU rRNA
Rfam family: Bacterial small subunit ribosomal RNA
Source: RNAcentral
AACGCGAAGAACCUUACCAGGGUUUGACAUCCUGCGAAUCUCUUGGAAACGAGAGAGUGCCUUCGGGAACGCAGUGACAGGUGGUGCAUGGCUGUCGUCAGCUCGUGUCGUGAGAUGUUGGGUUAAGUCCCGCAACGAGCGCAACCCACGUCGUUAGUUGCCAGCAUUCAGUUGGGCACUCUAGCGAGACCGCCGGUGAUAAACCGGAGGAAGGUGUGGAUGACGUCAAGUCAUCGUGCCCCUUACAUCCUGGGCUACACACGUACUACAAUGCUACGGACAAAGGGCAGCAAACUCGCGAGAGCUAGCAAAUCCCAUAAACCGUGGCUCAGUUCAGAUCGUAGGCUGCAACUCGCCUACGUGAAGGAGGAAUCGCUAGUAAUCGCAGGUCAGCAUACUGUGGUGAAUACGUUCCCGGGUCUUGUACACACCG